This 163-nucleotide ribosomal RNA is filed under the name Allium ampeloprasum (leek). Its description in RNAcentral is "5.8S ribosomal RNA". It matches the Rfam family "5.8S ribosomal RNA". From Rfam's summary of the family: 5.8S ribosomal RNA (5.8S rRNA) is a component of the large subunit of the eukaryotic ribosome. It is transcribed by RNA polymerase I as part of the 45S precursor that also contains 18S and 28S rRNA. Lineage: Eukaryota; Viridiplantae; Streptophyta; Magnoliopsida; Asparagales; Amaryllidaceae. The record is from RNAcentral.
GAAUGACUCCUGGCAAUGGAUAUCUUGGCUCUCGUGUCUAUGAAGAACGUAGCGAAAUGCGACACUUGGUGUGAAUUGCAGAAUCCCGUGAACCAUCGAGUCUUUGAAUGCAAGUUGCGCACGAGGCCAUUAGGUCGAGUGCACGUCUGUUUGGGCGUCAUGU